RNAcentral lists this long non-coding RNA (873 nucleotides) under Carica papaya (papaya). RNAcentral's name for it is "long non-coding RNA (CPAP_LNC013736)". The record is from RNAcentral. Lineage: Eukaryota; Viridiplantae; Streptophyta; Magnoliopsida; Brassicales; Caricaceae.
ACACACUAACAGUACCUGCACGUGUUCCAAAAAAAAUCCAAAUUAGGCCCAGGGCCUCUUUCGGCCCAAAUCGCAACUCCGGCACGGCGGCUCCGCCGUGCUCCGGCGACGGCGCCGCCGCUGGCGGCGGCAAGUCGCCUCGGGUUGGCUGUUUUCGGCCGUUUUCGGCCGAAUUCGGCCACGCUCGCAUUGGUCCUUGUCAGAAAACAACCCUAGGGCCCUCGGGGGGCAAAAAAAUCACGGAAAAACGGAGCUUACCGGCGGCGGCGCUCUCGGGUGCAGCGGCUCUCCGGCGAGGUUCGUGUUUUGGUGAUUCGGCUCCGGUCAACCUGUAGAGAAAAGAAUGGUGAUCACGGUGAUAUAAAAAUUGCAUCGAACGGAGGCCGGGAAGGGCCUCGUCGGAGGCAAAAAUCGAGAGGGGGCGCGGCAGCGCCGCUGGGCUUCGGCCGCGUAUUCCGGCCGUUUGGCCGGGAUUUCGGCCUCGAUUUGGCCAUAGGAGGAAUCAGCGGGGAAAAAUGAGUCGGGGGUAUGAAAUUUACCUCAAUCGGCAGUCGGAAAUUUCCCCGGUGCGGCGGCGAGUGGCGGCGGGUGGCGGCGGUCGGCCUCUGGUUCGUCUUCUCCGGCGAGCGGCUGGCGGCUAGGGUUUUUGGUCUGGUGUGGAGGUUCUAUUUAUAACCCUUUGCCUUUUGAUCACAGCCGUUCGUUUCGUUUUAAUCUGGGCCGUUCGUUUUUGAUUGAAUCUGGGCCGUCCGUGCGUUUGAAUCUGGGCCGUCCGAUCGCGUGAUUGAUCUGGGCCGUCGGAUCGCACCCACGCGGAUCGCCAACGUGGCUCCUUUCAGAGUGACGCGAUCUUGCCACGUGGCAGGCCCUGGU